RNAcentral lists this ribosomal RNA (256 nucleotides) under uncultured bacterium. RNAcentral describes it as "partial 16S ribosomal RNA". It matches the Rfam family "Bacterial small subunit ribosomal RNA", at positions 524 to 776 of the family's 1533-position model. The record is from RNAcentral.
UACGUAGGGUGCAAGCGUUGUCCGGAAUCAUUGGGCGUAAAGGGCGCGUAGGUGGCCCGGUCAGUCUUUGGUGAAAGCGCGGGGCUCAACCCUGCGUCGGCCAGGGAUACUGCCGCGGCUCGAGCACUGUAGAGGCAGGCGGAAUUCCGGGUGUAGCGGUGGAAUGCGUAGAGAUCCGGAAGAACACCGGUGGCGAAGGCGGCCUGCUGGGCAGUUUGGCUGACACUGAGGCGCGACAGCAUGGGGAGCAAACAGG